CUCUCUCUCUCUCUCUCUCUCUCUCUCUCUGUCUCUCCCCUGCCCUUCCCCUCUGCUCAUGGAUCCCUCCUGUAGCAGGGACCCCAAAAGCCAAAUUUCGAAUAUGGGGCUCAGUCUCUAGGCAGAAAUAAUCCUGCUGUGAAAGAGGUCCUGGCCAAGACCAUUCCUCCCAGUAGAGCAGCCCCUGCCUCUUACAGGCUGCAGCUGUAUGAGCCAUUGCCAUGGUGAUGGGAAUGGGAGGAAAGAAGCAUCUCCAUUACACGCAGGAGCAGGGUGUAGUGGGCUUCCCCCACCUGGGAAACACAGAAGGAAGUAACCAAGCUGGUUUCCUAGUGUCUUCAAUGAAAGGCACAGCUGCAGGGACUCUGUUCUGGGAUGGCAAUUGAGCCUCAAUUGAGCUUCAAGCCCCCACCCUGGACAGCAGCUCACUCCAGAGACCUGAAGCCUGGAGGAGCCCAGAGAAUCACAGCCCAAGGUCAAACACCUGACUGUCGGCUGAGCUAGCAUCCUCUCUCGAGGAGAAAGCUCGCGGCCUCUAUCCAGUGGAUCCAGACAGCCAGAACAGAGCCCAAAGGCUUCCCUGUCUGCAAAAGGGUUCCACCUCCACGCCAUCUAGCUGAGACUGCCACAGAGACAGAUCUGCCAAUGACCAUCUUCCCGGGGAGCCACAGACCCAACCUGGGGACUUCAACCAGAUGAGCAGGACAACAAUCAGCACAGAGAGGAAAAUUCUGGGUCUGUCCUCUUGGCCCCAGUCCUCCAGAACUUGGCUCUUAAGUGUCUGCCUCAAUCACUUCCUGAGGUAUUAUGGGUUCCCUCUUAGGCACACAUACACUUUCACAGGGAAUUCUGGAAGGCUGAAAAGCUUUGGAGACCUGAUUCAACAAUUCAAGAAAACAAUACACACAAUGACCACAACAAUGGAAAAUGAAGGAAGAACAGCCAAACAAUUAAACCUGCAGGUUAUCAAUUAUAAUGGCCAAGCUUGGUCCCAAGGAAGGAAAAUAAACAGACGCCUCCCUCUGUUCCUUAGAAGAGGUGGAGAGCCAUGAGCAGGGAAAAUUACAUACAUAACACAUUAAAGGUGACUGUCUGCUGGA
Molecule: long non-coding RNA, 1100 nt
Organism: Monodelphis domestica (gray short-tailed opossum)
Lineage: Eukaryota; Metazoa; Chordata; Mammalia; Didelphimorphia; Didelphidae
Source: RefSeq, a predicted model, not a curated record